Long non-coding RNA from Musca vetustissima, 266 nucleotides. RefSeq lists it as uncharacterized. The record is from RefSeq and is a predicted model, not a curated record. The transcript is spliced from 2 exons. NCBI's taxonomy places the organism in Eukaryota, Metazoa, Arthropoda, Insecta, Diptera, Muscidae.
GAACACCAGUCAUCACAUAAAUUGUUGCAAAAUGGAACGAAACGUCAAAGGCGAACUUUAAGUAAUUGUGGCACCAAGGAACCAAGACGACGCAUAGAAGCACGUCUCGUGGAAUGGCAACCACAAGGCAAGUUAAAAAUUCAAGGUGGACGUAAAAUAAGACGUCUACAUCAUCAGCAGCCACAUUUCAAAUAUGAGACAACGACAGCGGAUGUAAAACAUCAGGAAUACCAUAAACAUCAAAUAAAAAAUCACCAACAACAGCA